CCUACGGGUGGCUGCAGUGAGGAAUAUUGGUCAAUGGGCGCGAGCCUGAACCAGCCAAGUAGCGUGAAUGAUGACUGCCCUACGGGUUGUAAACUUCUUUUAUAAAGGAAUAAAGUGAGGCACGUGUGCCUUUUUGUAUGUACUUUAUGAAUAAGGAUCGGCUAACUCCGUGCCAGCAGCCGCGGUAAUACGGUGGAUCCGAGCGUUAUCUGGAUUUAUUGGGUUUAAAGGGAGCGUAGAUGGGUGGUUAAGUCAGUUGUGAAAGUUUGCGGCUCAACCGGAAAAUUGCAAUUGAUACUGGCAGGCUUGAGUACAGUUGAGGGAGGCAGAAUUCGUGGUGUAGCGGUGAAAUGCUUAGAUAUCACGAAGAACACCGAUGGCGAAGGCAGCUUACUAAACUGCCACUGACAUUGAUGCUCGAAAGUGUGGGGAGCAAACAGGAUUAGAUACCCCUGUAGUC
RNAcentral lists this ribosomal RNA (460 nucleotides) under uncultured bacterium. Its description in RNAcentral is "partial 16S ribosomal RNA". It matches the Rfam family "Bacterial small subunit ribosomal RNA", at positions 338 to 795 of the family's 1533-position model. The record is from RNAcentral.